This 460-nucleotide ribosomal RNA is filed under the name uncultured bacterium. RNAcentral describes it as "bacterial SSU rRNA". It matches the Rfam family "Bacterial small subunit ribosomal RNA", at positions 340 to 786 of the family's 1533-position model. The record is from RNAcentral.
UACGGAAGGCAGCAGUGGGGAAUAUUGCACAAUGGGCGAAAGCCUGAUGCAGCUAUGCCGCGUGUAUGAAGAAGGCCUUAGGGUUGUAAAGUACUUUCAUCGGGGAGGAAAAAACAAAACUAAUAAUUUUAUUUCUUGACGUUACCCGAAAAAGAAGCACCGGCUAACUCCGUGCCAGCAGCCGCGGUAAUACGGAGGGUGCUAGCGUUAAUCAGAAUUACUGGGCGUAAAGAGCACGUAGGUGGUUUUUUUAAAGUCAGAUGUGAAAUCCCUGGGCUUUAACCUAGGAACUGCAUUUUGAAACUGAAAUACUAGAGUAUCGUAGAGGGAGGUAGAAUUUCUAGGUGUAGCGGUGAAAUGCGUAGAUAUCUGGAGGAAUACCUGUGGCGAAAGCGGCCUCCUAAACGAAUACUGACACUGAGGGUGCGAAAGCGUGGGGAGCAAACAGGGAUUAGAUACC